This 253-nucleotide ribosomal RNA is filed under the name uncultured bacterium. Its description in RNAcentral is "partial 16S ribosomal RNA". It matches the Rfam family "Bacterial small subunit ribosomal RNA", at positions 524 to 776 of the family's 1533-position model. The record is from RNAcentral.
UACGUAGGGGGCUAGCGUUGUCCGGAAUCAUUGGGCGUAAAGCGCGUGUAGGCGGUCCGGUAAGUCCGCUGUGAAAGUCGGGGGCUCAACCCUCGAAUGCCGGUGGAUACUGUCGGGCUAGAGUGCGGAAGAGGCGAGUGGAAUUCCUGGUGUAGCGGUGAAAUGCGCAGAUAUCAGGAGGAACACCAAUUGCGAAGGCAGCUCGCCGGGACGUUACUGACGCUGAGACGCAAAAGCGUGGGGAGCAAACAGG